RNAcentral lists this ribosomal RNA (1373 nucleotides) under uncultured archaeon. RNAcentral's name for it is "partial 16S ribosomal RNA". It matches the Rfam family "Archaeal small subunit ribosomal RNA". The record is from RNAcentral.
UUCCGGUUGAUCCUGCCGGAGGCUACUGCCAUCAGAGUUCGAUUAAGCCAUGUUAGUCGAGGGUACCUCUUCUUCUUCGGAGGAUGAGGUAACCCGGCGGACGGCUCAGUAACACGUGGAUAACUUGCCCUUGGGUCUGGGAUAACCCCUGGGAAACUGGGGCUAAUACCGGAUAGAGCAUCGAUCGCUGGAAUGCCUGAUGCUCGAAAACUACGGUGCCCAAGGAUAGGUCUGCGGCUGAUUAGGUUGUUGUUGAUGUAAUGGACCAACAAGCCUACGAUCGGUACGGGUUGUGAGAGCAAUAGCCCGGAGAUGGGUUCUGAGAAAAGAACCCCAGGUCCUACGGGACGCAUCAGGCGCGAAAACUUUACAAUGUGCGAAAGCACGAUAAGGGAACUCUGAGUGCCCUCUAAGGGGGCUGUUCUAGUGUCUAAAAAGCAAUAGAAGUAAGGGCUGGGCAAGACCGGUGCCAGCCGCCCGCGGUAACACCGGCAGCCCAAGUGGUAGCCACGCUUAUUGGGUCUAAAGCGUUCGUAGCCGGCUUGGUAAGUUCCUUGGUAAAUUUAGCCGCUUAACGGUUAAGCUUUCAGGGAAUACUGCUUGGCUUGGGACUGGGAGAGGCCAGAGGUACUCCAGGGGUAGGGGUGAAAUCCAUUAAUCCUUGGGGGACCACCGGUAGCGAAGGCGUCCGACCAGACCCAGCUCCGACGGUGAAGGGACGAAGGCUAAGGGGCGCGAACCGGAAUUAGAUACCCCGGGUAGUCCUAGCUGUAAACGAUGCGGGCUAGGUGUUGGCAUUACUGCGAGUGGUGCCAGUGCCGAAGGGAAGCCGUUAAGCUCGCCAUCUGGGGAGUACGGUCGCAAGGCUUAAACUUAAAGGAAUUGGCGGGGGAGCACCACAACGGGUGGAGCCUGCGGUUCAAUUGGAUUCAACGCCGGAAAACUUACCAGGGGAGACAGCAGUAUGACGGUCAGGUUGACGACCUUACCCGACGAGCUGAGAGGAGGUGCAUGGCCGUCGCCAGUUCGUGCCGUGAGGUAUCCUGUUAAGUCAGGCAACGAACGAGAUCCGCACCUUUAUUUGCCAACAAGAAGUCACGACUUCGUUGGGAACACUAAAGGGACCGCCGUCGAUAAGACGGAGGAAGGAGCGGGCAAAGGCAGGUCAGUAUGCCCCGAAACCCCUGGGCUACACGCGGGCUGCAAUGGUAUGAACAAUGGGCUGUGACUCCGAAAGGAGAAACCAAUCCCGAAAUCAUAUCUCAGUUGGAAUUGUCGGCUGUAACCCGCCGACAUGAACGUGGAAUCCCUAGUAAUCGUGUGUCAUCAUCGCACGGUGAAUACGUCUCUGCUCCUUGUACACACCGCCCGUC